CUCUACAUCACAGAACCUCCCAAGGAACAUGCUUUGGUCACUCACAGGCACAUCAAAGCCUUUGGGACAUUUGUCUGGAGAGACCUCUGGGUUUGUCACCACUUCACUGGACGACCACUGGAAAUGUUCAUCACUGAAAUUUCCUUGACCGAAGAACAUCACUGCAUUAUUUCCUAGAGGAACCCUGACAUUUUUAGCAAUCCAACUGUACAAGCAACUCCAUGCUUCAGAGGACACGUCCCCUCUCACCAGCUCCAAAAACAGACUUGAUUUGUCAAAGAGGAAUCUCAUUCCCCUUCCAGUGAUACAAGCAGCCAUGGUGACAGGAUGUGACACCUGGAACUGCUGCAGCCAUGUUGCUACCAGAGAAGGUAGCUACCAGAAGACUUUGAGAAUGUCAAAGCAGAAAAAUGGAAAGAACUCAUGAGGUCGAGAUAACAGCCAGGCCACCUCCAGCAACGUGGGUUGUACAGCAGGCAUUCUGGAAUCUCUCUCUCAAUAAGUCUAUUGAUCAGAACUCCUCAAGCAGUUUCCUCAGAUCGCACAACAAACUGGAUUUUCGCCUGAGUAUCAUCUUUUCAGUUCCUGGUUCACUGGUCUUCCCUUAGGAGAAGGACCUUGAGCUCUCAUGGGCUAUGAAGACAGAGGAGAUGCAGAGAGGAAACAAAAUAUUCCCGACAAACAGCAUUAUAGAUAUACAUGGCAAGUAUUUACAUAUCCUCCCUACUUAUGGUAUUUUCCCUUAUAAAAUAAAAUAAAAUCUUUCUGACUCCAAAGUCUUUCCUGAA
Odocoileus virginianus texanus is the source of this 788-nucleotide non-coding RNA. The record is from RefSeq and is a predicted model, not a curated record. NCBI's taxonomy places the organism in Eukaryota, Metazoa, Chordata, Mammalia, Artiodactyla, Cervidae.